This 500-nucleotide ribosomal RNA is filed under the name uncultured bacterium. RNAcentral's name for it is "partial 16S ribosomal RNA". It matches the Rfam family "Bacterial small subunit ribosomal RNA", at positions 30 to 523 of the family's 1533-position model. The record is from RNAcentral.
AUUGAACGCUGGCGGAAUGCUUUACACAUGCAAGUCGAACGGCAGCACGGACUUCGGUCUGGUGGCGAGUGGCGAACGGGUGAGUAAUACAUCGGAACGUGCCCAGUCGUGGGGGAUAACGUAGCGAAAGCUACGCUAAUACCGCAUACGAUCUAAGGAUGAAAGCGGGGGAUCGCAAGACCUCGCGCGAUUGGAGCGGCCGAUGGCAGAUUAGGUAGUUGGUAGGGUAAAGGCCUACCAAGCCGACGAUCUGUAGCUGGUCUGAGAGGACGACCAGCCAGACUGGGACUGAGACACGGCCCAGACUCCUACGGGAGGCAGCAGUGGGGAAUUUUGGACAAUGGACGCAAGUCUGAUCCAGCCAUUCCGCGUGCAGGAUGAAGGCCCUCGGGUUGUAAACUGCUUUUGUACAGAACGAAAAAGCUCUGGUUAAUACCUGGAGCUCAUGACGGUACUGUAAGAAUAAGCACCGGCUAACUACGUGCCAGCCGCCGCGGUAA